GUCGCCCUACCCCUUCGCAUUCUGCGAACAGCCUGUCUAACCUCUUCUACCUUAAAACGUCUACAAUAGCUAAAAUCCCGACACUCCUCUGAGUGCUCCAGUUCCCCUAACACAAUAGCUCUAUCCCCUUCGUCAUUCAAGAGCCUAUGAAAGUACGACUGCCAUCUAUUCUUAAUGUGGCCGUCCUCCACCAACACUCUACCGUCCUCCCCCUUAAUGCACCUCACCUGAUCGAGGUCACGACCCUUCCUCUCCCUAGCCUUAGUGAGUCUAAACAACUUUUUCUCCCCUCCCUUCCCCUGUAAUCCUGUAAGGCGGCCGUCUUAGCUGCCGUGACUGCUGACUUAGCCUCCUUCCUCGCUAGCUUGUACUCUUUCCUGUUUACCCGCUUCUCCUCUUCGUCCUUACUCUCCACCAACUUGGCAUACGCCCCUUUCUUGGUCCCCACUUUCUUCUCCACCUCUUUAUUCCACCACCAAUCCCCCUGAUGGUGGCCGGCCCGGCCCCUAGAA
Molecule: long non-coding RNA, 512 nt
Filed under: Capsicum annuum
Lineage: Eukaryota; Viridiplantae; Streptophyta; Magnoliopsida; Solanales; Solanaceae
Description: long non-coding RNA (CANN_LNC002440)
Source: RNAcentral